ACAGCAAUAUCACGUUGAAACACCGGUUUUCCUACCAUCACCGACGUUAAGCAACGCCAGCCCUAGUUAGUACCUUGAUGGAUGGCCGCUUGGGAAUAACAAGUGCUGUAAG
Molecule: non-coding RNA, 112 nt
Organism: Acanthosepion pharaonis
Lineage: Eukaryota; Metazoa; Mollusca; Cephalopoda; Sepiida; Sepiidae
Source: the annotation of a GenBank genome assembly